Macaca mulatta (Rhesus monkey) is the source of this 1076-nucleotide non-coding RNA. The record is from RefSeq and is a predicted model, not a curated record. Lineage: Eukaryota; Metazoa; Chordata; Mammalia; Primates; Cercopithecidae.
UCCUCCCUCCCUGAAAUAUACCAGUAGAAUGUAAUCUUCAAGCAGGCAAGGAUAUUUACCUGCUGGCUUUGCUGCUGUAUCCCCUAGACAGUGCCUGGCACACGCUUGUCAUGAUGGGCCUCCAUGGCUUUCUCUACUGAUCCUUCUGAAUAUCAGAAUAAGGAUGAUCCAGGACUGGAAGACAUCCAUGGAUGGCUGCAAGGUGCUGGAAAGAGUGGAAACACGCUACUUGAGGAGCACGCUAGGGUCUAGGAACAUGCUGGGGCAUUAUGAUGCAAGGAAGCAGGAACCAAUGCACACCCACUCGGCUUUGUUGUGAGAGCCUCCUGGAUUAGAUUUCCCUGUACGUUUUAAGGGUGAAUGGACACUGGCUCCCACACUGCUUUCUGGGAGGGAUCUGUUCUGACCCAGAAAAGGAUCUCGUAUGGCCCAGAACAAGGCAAAAUUGGUGGCUUUUUACUCAUCUUCUGGGUGUUCAGCUCCUCUCUGUCAGGGCUAGAGACUGCGGGACAGCGUGUAACAGCUGGGUAGAGUCUGGUAAGGGCAUUUUAUAUAAGCCUUGCUGGAUGUAUCAAGGGCCCCAUUCAUAUUUCUCCUCUUUUACUCAAUAACUUUAAUUCUUCAUCUUUAUCCUGAAAAUAGCACAAGAGGGAGUGAAGAUUUUCUCCUAAAGAUGCAGAGCCAGGCUCUCUCACAAUGGUCAAUGGGAAACAGUCCAGAGAUGCAUAGUCUGAACAAAAUUCAAUUAAUUAUGGUUUUUCCACAUAUAGCAUUUAUCUUGUUCCAUGGUGAGUUUGAAAUAAUGUUGUAAAUAUUUAUGCUACAAUAGUGAAUAAAAAAGUAAGGCAGAGAAAUUGUAAAAAUACUGUCAAUUAUGUAAAGGGUCCUAAGUACAAAGAUUAGAGGAAAAUAUGCUUUUAUUUGACUAUAACGGAAGGGUAGGAUUGUAGGGCACGUUUAUUCAUGUUUCCCUAGACUUUCCUUCAACUUUUAAAUGUUCUACAAUGAUGAUGUAUUACUUUUACCAUCAGAAAAAUGAAAUAAAAGAAAAUAUAAUAAAGUAAAACAAAACCUGA